RNAcentral lists this ribosomal RNA (218 nucleotides) under Cryptomonas paramaecium. RNAcentral describes it as "Cryptomonas paramecium partial Bacterial large subunit ribosomal RNA". It matches the Rfam family "Bacterial large subunit ribosomal RNA", at positions 1959 to 2176 of the family's 2925-position model. Lineage: Eukaryota; Cryptophyceae; Cryptomonadales; Cryptomonadaceae. The record is from RNAcentral.
GCGAAAUUCCUUGUCGGGUAAGUUCCGACCCGCACGAAAGGUGUAACGAUUUGGGCGCUGUCUCAACAAAGGAUCCGGUGAAAUUGUAGUAGUGGUGAAGAUGCGACUUACCCACGGUAGGACGGAAAGACCCCGUGGAGCUUUACUGCAGGUUGACAUUGAAUUUUGGGAUUAAAUGUACAGGAUAGGUGGGAGACUAAGAAGUAAGCUCGCCAGAG